UUUUUUUUUUUUUUAUUAUCAUAGUCCUUUUUGCCCCAUGCCCUGCCAUCUCAACCACAAGGAAUAUUCAAUUGUAAUCUAUUAGGAACUUGGAAAUACUAGCAGACAAUGCAAGGGAGGGGGGGUCCAAAGGUGAAAAUCUACGGAAGGGGAUUUCAACCUUCCUUGUGCGUUAGAAUCGCCCUAGGAGCUUUAAAUACAGAUGGCCAGGCCUUUCCAGUGGUGAUUCAUCAAUCAGGUGGAAGCCCAGGAACCAGCAUUUUUUAAGUUCCCCAAAUGAUUCUCAUGGGCAGCAGAGUUGGAAAUCACUGGUCUACAGGAACCAGGGGAGGGCUGCAAAGGUCGUUAAGGGGUCCUACUGAUGGGUGACUAAAACCCAAGGGAGGCAGACUCAGAGCAUCAAGGGAACCGUUGUUUCCUCUCUCAGGAAGGCAGGGCCCAGGAAAGAGGGAGCUUCUGAAUGUGCUAGUCUCUGCUGGGGAGACAGAGACAGCUCAGGCACACUGGAUCCCCUUGCUAGGAUCAGCUGGAAAGUGCAAGAGUGGAGAAUGGAAUCAGUAGGGCAGGGUGAGGGGCUGGAAUUGAUUAACAAUCUGCAGUCAGCAAGGAGGAAAGAGACCCUGAAGCCCUGGGCUGAACCUUUGAAAUGCCUCUCUAGUCCUACUAAGAGCUCUCUUAGUGAUGUUAGCUGUAUCUAAUCGGCUGUUGUAGUGACUACGUACUAUUAACUUUAUUCUUUUAUUCUAAGUCACCUUGAAACCUUUUGUAACAAGUAGGAUUUGAGUAAUCUUAACUUAAAAAACCUAUAUAUGUUUUGUCUUUGAGGAUGUCCUCAUGUUGGAGUUGACUGGGCACCCAAACUGGGGACUAAGUUGGAAAGAUGCUUCGUCUUGGGGCCCAAGCUGAGAGAGAUGCUGGAGAGAGUGAAAGGGGGAGUCCGCCGAGAUCAUAGGGAGAGAAAACUUGAAUCUCUUAGGUCUAUGACGUAGCAGUUAUUGACCAGAAGUAAACGCUGGAACCCCACUGACUGAUAAGGCUGAACAGAAGUCUGCCAAGCACUGACUCAACCAGCUCAGUUUACAGAGGAGGGAAGUAUAGGGAAGGAAGUUAAGGGACCAUGCAAGGCAAACACAGCUGAGUUUGUCACAUCAGGUCUCCCUUGGCAAAACUGCAAAGCUACCCAGAUAUUUCACCCGUAGCCAUUCAUAUUUUAGUGAGAAUUACGUUCAACCAAAGACUCAGCUGCUUGUCUCUCAGCUACAUUUAGUUACAUGAGAGAAUGGAAUCUUGCACAGGGUAGAGGAGGUGGGUAGACCCACAGGAAGAAGUAUCAGGUGUUCUAGGUAUAGACAAACUGUAAUGAAUUGCCCAGAUGAGUGUUGAGCAUUGUAUAUUCAGAAAACUACAGGAAGGCAGUUGUCACCCCUAGUGUGUGUAGAAGGGACCAUUAGUGUUAGAAUUUGACCAAUAUUUAUUGAGGAUCUUUUGUGUCCUCAUAACUUAUGUAAUCCUCACAAAAACCCUGUAAAGUAAUUAUUCCUAUUUUCUAGCUGAGGAAAUGGAAGUUUAGAGAGGGUAAGUCAUUUUUCCAAAGUCACACAGCUUGUCAGUAGGGAGGGCUGGGAAACCCAUCAAGCCUACUGUGCUUUUCACUGAGCCAUAGUGUCUCUGGGAAAUAUCAUUCCAAAGAGGCUGUGUGUCAUUCUUGGGAAGUUGUGCUUGUCAUCUAUGUAACAGCUCGUUUGGAUUCUCAGUACUUUAAUUUAGAACCCAGGAAGGUCAGUUUUUUUUUAUUUAUUUGGUAAAGAGUGGGCCUUAUUAAUCUAUAAAAGUCGCAGGUCAAAUUUCCUUUGGCCACUCAGAGCUCAGAGGGUCAAAUUGGUUUUACUGCAUCCUGUUCUUAAGAAAAGUGUAAGGAGAAACAGAAUGCAAUGAAAAUCAACAGUGAGUAAGGAGUGAUUGAUGUGUGUGUUGGCAUGCCUACAGCAUGCAGAAGUUCCUGGGCCAGGGAUAAAAUCAGCCACAGCAGUGACAAUGCUGAAUCCUUAACAACUAGCCUACCAGGGAACUAAUAAUUAUAGUUUUGAUAGAUUCCUCAUGGCAUUUUUUUUUUCCAAUUCAACUUUCUUAACUUUUUCUGGGCUUUUAUAGAGCAUGGCAGUGGUGGGAAAGGGGUUUGAUGCUGGAGAGGAGCAGAAUUACCUCCCCUCGCCACUCCCAGGGAGUCAGCCAUGGACAGUCCCAAAAAGAUGGGAACUAGAAAAUAAGGCUGGAGCAGGCUCUCCUAGCCUGGUGGGAAGAGGAGGAAGGCUGUGGGGAAGAAAAAAAUUCCAUGGGGGCAGACCCAAGGCACUGGCCUGAGACCAGAGAUAAACAGUCCAGAGCUGGCAAGGAAAACUAGCUGAAGUCUGGGAGUCAGAUAGGCUGGUAUUUAAGUCCAGGCCUGUCUUUACAAGCUAGGUGAGUCUGGGUAAGCUAUUGACCCUUUUGAGCCUCAUUUUCCUCAUCUAUAAAAUGAAGCUGAUACACACACACACACACACACACACACACACACACACACACACACUUGGCUUAUUAGGCUCUUGUCAAAAUUCAUAGUAUAUCACUAUCUUAGGACAUGGUCCUCAAUAAUUAAUAUUUGGCCAGAUGUUGUCUAGCAGAGAAAAGUUGACAUUUCUGCUUUCCUUAAUCCAUGAGGCUAGAAAGCAGAAGAUUGAACUGAGAAACGAAUCAUUUCUCUCUAGAGGUCUCAGUGAGGAGGUUGACAACCAGCAUUGAAGAAAUUCUUCCUCUCAUUUCCUGAAGUUUCUGUCUUCUUGUGAACAAACCAGCAAGCAAAACUGAAAUGUUUCAAGGGGCGACUGCAAACAUGAUCAUUUCUUUUGUUCUGAGAAAUCAUUUCAACCCACAUGACUUCACUGGGCUACUGGAUAUGUUUGCUUCCAAUUAUAUUUGCUUGGGGCAAAAUUCAGAAUUACGGGAGAGUUGAAUGUCUCUUAGGUUCUUUGCUGUAUUUGAAGAGUAGGAGAACCUCUGCCAGGAGACCUCGCAGCUACAUUUAGAAUUUGUUUUCACUGUCACUGCUCCCCAAAGCUGGGUUUCUUAUUAGUUUUCAAGUGAGUUUGUUUUCACAAAGUCUGUUUGUGUGUGAUGGGGUCUGAUAAGGCCUCCCUACAAAGAAGAACAACAUUCUGAAGUCUGACUUGCUUUUAGAAAUCCUUGGCCCUACAUUGAAGUUGGAGGCAUAUUUAUAUUUGGGGUUUAAAAGGCCCAGCUGAGACUUGGUAAACAAGCAAAUGAACAUGGGACUGGACCCCAAGAAGAAUUGCAGCUUUGAUAAAUGGCAACCUGAUUUGGAAAAGAGAUGCCUUUAUUUCAACACUAUUGAAGCCAAGUUGCCUGGAAUGAAGGUUUUGCAAUAGGUUCCCAAGCUGACCACACGAAGUGGGGCUCUGAAUUACAAAGGAUCCUUUCAUUUACCACUAAAUCAAUCCCUUAUCAAAGUGGGGCCAGCUUCUGAAAGAAGAGUUUCAUAUUGAAAAGAGAAAUUUAUUUGCAAGAACUCAUCAAAUCUAUUAUAUAAUUCUGAAGAAUUUGCCUUUAGGUCAACAUUGCUGGUAUUUGAACUAACCUCAUAAUGCCUUAAACAUAGAAGGAUUCAAUUUUGUUUUACUCAUUUUGGAUCUGGAAUUUUGGAGAAGCCCCAGUGUUGCUGGAACGUGUUCCCAAUGUUCAAUUUAAAUACAUGAUUUAUCUUCUGUGUAACAGUACAACCUUGUACAAGUAACAAUCAUUUGAAUUAUAAACAGCUUUUGCUCAUUUGUGGCUUCAAAGAAGGAAUGAGUCAAAAUGGCUAAGUUCAAGGUAUGCAGCCUUCUUAUCCUUUUUGUUUGUCCCUUACUAAUCAAGGGGAGGGUAGUUACCUGCUUUGGGUUGCAGCCCAUUCUCCAGCUUCCCUGUGCGGGAGGGGGUGGGAGGUGGUGGCUGAGAGCUGCAGAUGACCGUCUCCUGCACAUCUAACAGUUACGGGGUGCUGACCUUGUGUCAGGCACUGAACGAGACCCUAGAGAUUCACAAGUAAGUAGAAACAGGUACAAUCCAAUAGAGAGUCUAGAAAUAAAUCCACACCUAUAUGGUCAACUAAUCUCUUUUUGAGGUAAAAUCGACAUAUAGAAUUAAUCUCCUGUGUGUGACAUAAAAAUUUGAUAUUUGUGGAGACUGUGAAAUGUUGUUAUCAUCCAUAUGGUCAACUUAUAUUUGACAAGGGCAGCAAGAUUAAACAUUGGGGGAGCUCCCACUGUGGUGCAACAGGAUCAGUGUGUUGGGAGAGAUGGGACACAGUUUUGAUCCUGACCUGGCACAGUGCGUUAAAGACCUGGCACCACCUCAGCUGUGGCUUAGGUUGCGAGAGCAGCUCAGAUCUGAUCCCUGGCCCAGGAGCUACAUAUGCUGUGGGACAGCCAAAAAUUAAAAAGAAAGAAAGAAGGAAUAAACAAUGGGGAAAAGGUAGUAUCUUCAGUAAAUGCUGUUGGGAAAACUGGAUAUCUAUGUGCAGAAGAGUGAAAUUGGACCCUUGUCAUACACCAUAGACAAAAAUUAACUUGAAAUGGAACAAAGUUAAAUUUAAGACCUGAAACCAUAAAACCUCUAGAUGAAAUUUUCUUCUAGGGAAAAAACUCCUUUACAUUGAUCUUGCUAAUGGUUUUUUUUAAAGAUAUGACAUCAAAGACAGAGGCAACCAAAGUAAAAAUAAACUAUUGGGACUAUAUCAAACUAAAAAGCUUCUGAAUAGCAAAGGAAACAACAAAAUGAUAAGAUAACCCAUGGAAUGGGAGAAGAUAUUUGCAAAGCAUAUAUCUGAUAAAAGUUGAAUAUCUAAAAUAUAAGAAAUUCAUAUAACUCAAUAGAAAAAAAAA
RNAcentral lists this long non-coding RNA (4919 nucleotides) under Sus scrofa (pig). RNAcentral describes it as "lncRNA (ENSSSCG00000052084.1)". Lineage: Eukaryota; Metazoa; Chordata; Mammalia; Artiodactyla; Suidae. The record is from RNAcentral.